GAUGAACGCUGGCGGCGUGCCUAAUACAUGCAAGUCGAGCGAACAGACGAGGAGCUUGCUCCUCUGACGUUAGCGGCGGACGGGUGAGUAACACGUGGAUAACCUACCUAUAAGACUGGGAUAACUUCGGGAAACCGGAGCUUAUACCGGAUAAUAUAUUGAACCGCAUGGUUCAAUAGUGAAAGACGGUUUUGCUGUCACUUAUAGAUGGAUCCGCGCCGCAUUAGCUAGUUGGUAAGGUAACGGCUUACCAAGGCGACGAUGCGUAGCCGACCUGAGAGGGUGAUCGGCCACACUGGAACUGAGACACGGUCCAGACUCCUACGGGAGGCAGCAGUAGGGAAUCUUCCGCAAUGGGCGAAAGCCUGACGGAGCAACGCCGCGUGAGUGAUGAAGGUCUUCGGAUCGUAAAACUCUGUUAUUAGGGAAGAACAAAUGUGUAAGUAACUAUGCACGUCUUGACGGUACCUAAUCAGAAAGCCACGGCUAACUACGUG
This 497-nucleotide ribosomal RNA is filed under the name uncultured bacterium. RNAcentral describes it as "partial 16S ribosomal RNA". It matches the Rfam family "Bacterial small subunit ribosomal RNA", at positions 28 to 507 of the family's 1533-position model. The record is from RNAcentral.